Molecule: transfer RNA, 86 nt
Filed under: Trametopsis cervina
Lineage: Eukaryota; Fungi; Basidiomycota; Agaricomycetes; Polyporales; Irpicaceae
Description: tRNA-Ala
Rfam family: tRNA
About the family: Transfer RNA (tRNA) molecules are approximately 80 nucleotides in length. Their secondary structure includes four short double-helical elements and three loops (D, anti-codon, and T loops). Further hydrogen bonds mediate the characteristic L-shaped molecular structure. tRNAs have two regions of fundamental functional importance: the anti-codon, which is responsible for specific mRNA codon recognition, and the 3' end, to which the tRNAs corresponding amino acid is attached (by aminoacyl-tRNA synthetases). tRNAs cope with the degeneracy of the genetic code in two manners: having more than one tRNA (with a specific anti-codon) for a particular amino acid; and 'wobble' base-pairing, i.e. permitting non-standard base-pairing at the 3rd anti-codon position.
Source: RNAcentral
GGGCACAUGGUGUAGUUGGUUAUCACAUCCGCUUAGCAUUGUGUGCUGUUUGCGGGGGGUGCUGGGUUCAAUUCCCAGUGUGUCCA